AAAAAGGUAAGCUAACGAUUUAAGCUAGUGGGUUCAUACCCCAUUUAUAGGAAUAUCCUCCUUUUUA
RNAcentral lists this transfer RNA (67 nucleotides) under Isophya major. RNAcentral describes it as "tRNA-Met". Lineage: Eukaryota; Metazoa; Arthropoda; Insecta; Orthoptera; Tettigoniidae. The record is from RNAcentral.